GACGAACGCUGGCGGCGUGCUUAACACAUGCCAGUCGAACGGAAAGGCCCUGCCUUUGUGGGGUGCUCGAGUGGCGAACGGGUGAGUAACACGUGAGUAACCUGCCCUUGACUUUGGGAUAACUUCAGGAAACUGGGGCUAAUACCGGCUAGGAGCUCCUGCUGCUUGGUGGGGGUUGGAAAGUUUCGGCGGUUGGGGAUGGACUCGCGGCCUAUCAGCUUGUUGGUGGGGUAGUGGCUUACCAGGGCUUUGACGGGUAGCCGGCCUGGGAGGAUAAGCGGCCACGUUGGGACUGAGAUAAGGCUCAGACUCGUAUGGGACGCAGCGGUGGAGAAGAGUACACAGUGGGCGGAAGCAUGGUGCAACAACGCCGCGUGCGGGGAGACAGCAUUCGGGUUGUAAACCGCUGUCGCCUGUGACGGGGCGAGAAUGACGGUAAUGGGUGAAGAAGCACCGGCUAACUACGUG
Molecule: ribosomal RNA, 468 nt
Filed under: uncultured bacterium
Lineage: Bacteria
Description: partial 16S ribosomal RNA
Rfam family: Bacterial small subunit ribosomal RNA
Source: RNAcentral